Molecule: transfer RNA, 102 nt
Filed under: Chryseobacterium vrystaatense
Lineage: Bacteria; Pseudomonadati; Bacteroidota; Flavobacteriia; Flavobacteriales; Weeksellaceae
Description: tRNA_Undet_???
Rfam family: tRNA
About the family: Transfer RNA (tRNA) molecules are approximately 80 nucleotides in length.
Source: RNAcentral
GGGGCAGUAGCUCAGAUGGUUAGAGCAGUGAUUACUUUCCGCUGAUGGCAGACAAAGUUCCUGUUAUACGGGUCACAGGUUCGAGUCCUGUCUGCUCCACAA